This 1282-nucleotide long non-coding RNA is filed under the name Citrus maxima (pomelo). RNAcentral's name for it is "long non-coding RNA (CMAX_LNC001067)". The record is from RNAcentral. Lineage: Eukaryota; Viridiplantae; Streptophyta; Magnoliopsida; Sapindales; Rutaceae.
AAUUCUUCUUUGAAAUGUAGGAAUUCUAAUUCCCUGACUUAAAAAUAAUUGAAUUGUCCUUUGUAACCUCAAAACAUUUCCAAAUUUUCAAUUUUGCCCUUAGUUUAAAAUUUAGAAGAUGAAACCCUAAAAUCACUUUAUCUCUCGAUUUCUCUCUAUCUAGCAGCCCCCUCUAUGAUUUUCAUCCAUUUUCCCAGCCACUGCCAUCGAUUCAAAUCAGUUGCUGCCAUGGAUUCAUCUUAAAAUAAGGAGAACAAGACGAAAACCGACGUAAAUUUUUAUGAUUUUAUAGAUUUAUUAAGUUGUUUUAUGUUAAUUUUUUUGAUUUGUUGAGUUUAUGAUUCUGUUUGGUUGCUGAGAAAAUUAUGGCUAAUUUAUUUUUGUUUUGUGUGUUUAUUGAACUAGACUUGAUUAUUUUCUCUUUCAGUAUAUUUAAACAUUAGUAAGUGAAUAAAAAAAUGCAUAUGGAGCAUGAAUUAAACAAAUAAAGAGAGAAGAAACAUAGAGGAUGCAGAGAAUUACGAAACGAGAGAGAGUUAUUUAUUCAUUUAUUUUUUCCACUCCGAACAGUUUUAUCAGCGAGGUGACAUAGUUGAAAGAGUAAUCGCAUUAACAGAGCAAUGGUCUUCAGAAUGUGAUACGAAUUGACCAGAAGCGACUCGGCUGACGGAAAAUGCCGGUUGGGUUGGUUUCGGAAGUGUCACGAUGUCACUUGCUAACAUAACAGCCACAGAAGACAUAGUUGGUCUGUCCAUUGGAUCUUCCUGAACGCACAACAAUCCAAUAUGAAUAUAUUUCAAUAAUUCAGCCUGAUCGCAUGACUGUUUUACUACUGAAUCCAUCAACUCUGCUGCAUGUCCUUCACACCAUAGUUUCCAUAUCUGAAAUUGAUGUAAACAAAGAUCAUAUAUGAGAGUAAGAGAGUAUCAACCAUUGGCAGUUAUUUAUUUUUCCAGAAAGAAAGAAAGAAAGAGAAAAUUACAUACAUAAGCAAGGAGACUUGGACCAUGUUCUAAAUGAUAAAAUCCACUGCUCUUUUUCCCACUGAUAAUCUCCAGCAGGACAACUCCAAAACUGAAAACAUCUGAUUUCACUGAAAAUAUCCCUUCCAUAGCGUACUCCGGGGCCAUGUAUCCACUGUUUUGAAAAUAAAACAAUAAUGAUAUCAUAAUAAAUGCCUUAGAGAAAAACUAGUGCCAUAUAGUACGACCCUAGUUUAAGGUCAUAAUUGGCUAAAACCAUACACAAUACAAUAUGGGUUGGCUAUGUUAAAGCCUUGAAA